UAGGAGAAUGACUAUCUAUGCUCGAACAUAAGAAGCUGACAAAAUACUCAUUGGUCAGAUGAGAGUCGGUUUAUGUUUCGACCAGUAGACGCCAUAAUACGAAUUUCGCAGGGAAAUAAUACGGCUUAUAACCAAAACAACAUUUGCCCAAGGAUUUCAUUCGGUCCUGGUGGUGUUACAGUACGGGGUUGCUUCUUAUACCGUUGUAAGCCGGGUAUGCAUAUCCUGCAGGGUCACAUAAACGGACAGACAUACAGAGAUUUAUUGCCUAAAAACAUUGUAGUCC
Molecule: long non-coding RNA, 286 nt
Filed under: Mytilus galloprovincialis (Mediterranean mussel)
Lineage: Eukaryota; Metazoa; Mollusca; Bivalvia; Mytilida; Mytilidae
Source: RNAcentral